This 916-nucleotide long non-coding RNA is filed under the name Danio rerio (zebrafish). Its description in RNAcentral is "lncRNA si:ch211-284f7.1 (ENSDARG00000094545.2)". The record is from RNAcentral. Lineage: Eukaryota; Metazoa; Chordata; Actinopteri; Cypriniformes; Danionidae.
GGGACUGGAUUAGCUGGCGGGUCGAGGGCCUGAAGCUGUUUUUUUUAGUUCUGGACCCUGCAGUGUUUUGCCUGCGCAGCUUGAGUUAAUCUCCCACCCUCUGAGACACCUCCCAACAAGACCCCUGAGCAUGCGGCUGAAUACUGCGGAUUGUUGCGUGUCAGGACAAGGGGUUGUUUUCAAAGUGGAGCACGUCAGUUCUCUGAAGUGUCUCACUGAUGGAAGCGAGAGGAUGAUGUUGUCUGGAAAGGAAUGAAUGAGACUGAUCUUCUGCCAGGGAAUUUCUUCUGCGGAUACAUCCAGAAGAGCUUUUUGGCCAGCCUGUAACUUUUCCUAAAGCACGUCAAACAUCACAUACCUGAUAAUCAUUUUGUGAAGCCUCUUCAAUAUAGAAGCGUUCAUGAGAUCAUCGGUCAGGAUUACAAGAUAAUGAUUAUUAUAAAUGUGCAUUUUUUUGUAUAUUAUUAACGCUCUAUCUAUCUGACAGUAGUAUACUUGCAGUAUCAGCAUGUACAUUAAUGUUUGAAGGAGAUGUCAGCUUCCAGCCAAGUCUUUAUGUCUUGAGCCAAUCGCUAUUGUCAUGAGCGCCAAUGCCAACAGUAGAAAAGCCUAUUAGUGUUUCCCUAAAGCAACCACAGAAUGCACACUGGACGGCUCUGAUGGAUGGCAUGUCAUAAUGGAAUGAGGACUGAAUGAAGGCUUAUUUAUGUACAAAGCCUGCAGACUCAAUGAAAUGCAUUCCAAGGACAGAAAACAUCUCAUUUCAAUUACGAAUCUCGGUUAAGUGAAGAAUUCCCACUGUGUAAAUCAGUGCUGCGCUCAUGUUAAUCACUUGACCCGCUCUGCUGUGGGGAAAUGCACUAAAAAUGUGUAUUAUUUGACAAUAAAAGAUAAUGGCGUGUUUCACUUGAAGUAA